AUACGGAGGGUGCAAGCGUUGUUCGGAUUUACUGGGCGUAAAGGGCGUGUAGGCGGAUAUGCAAGCUGGAGGUGAAAGCCCCGGGCUCAACCCGGGAAUUACUUUGUAGAACUGCAUAUCUAGAGAAAGUCAGAGGCAUGUGGAAUUCCAGGUGUAGAGGUGAAAUUCGUAGAGAUCUGGAGGAACACCGGCGGCGAAGGCGGCCUGCUGGGGCUUUUCUGACGCUGAGGCGCGAAAGCGUGGGUAGCAAACGGGAUUAGAAACCCCGGUAGUCC
Molecule: ribosomal RNA, 275 nt
Filed under: uncultured bacterium
Lineage: Bacteria
Description: partial 16S ribosomal RNA
Rfam family: Bacterial small subunit ribosomal RNA
Source: RNAcentral